Molecule: long non-coding RNA, 3367 nt
Organism: Parus major (Great Tit)
Lineage: Eukaryota; Metazoa; Chordata; Aves; Passeriformes; Paridae
Exons: 2
Source: RefSeq, a predicted model, not a curated record
CUCCUUCCAAUGCCUGAGCUCCCUUUCCAUGGGGGAAUUCCUGCUGCUGUCCACCCUGAGCCUCCCCUGGCCCAGCCCGAGGCCGUUCCCUCUUGUCCCGAAUAGAAAUCUUUGACAGCCAAUAUUUAUUUGUGAUGUUCUUUUCUUGUUUUAAGUCAUACCUCAUCAUAACCAAAUCCCACCAAGUUAGAGGCAGCAAAAUAUCAACUUUUCAAAAUUUAAUCUGUUUUCUUGCUCUUUUCUUCUGCCCUUCCUGAUUUUCUGGCUCAGAGACGUUUCUGAAUUAUCAUUUCACUGCUGGAACAAAGCAAAAAAUACCAAAAACCCCAAUCGGUGACUCACUCUUUGCUUGUGUUUAUUACUCAAGAUUGAGAACAUUUGACAAUCCCUCAGAAAUUCAAGGAAUCAGCAAAAGCCAUAAAUUUAUUUAUAAACAAACAUAACCCCCCUCUCCUAAAAUGCAGCUCUCACUGAAAUUAAUUCAACACUGGGUUAUUUAGGAUUAAAAUCAAUCAAACCUGUUGUUAAAAGUAGAUAAAAAUUACAGGCACGAGGGUUGUGCAGGGAGAAGAAUUUUUUUUUUUUUUUUAAAUCAUUUUGAAUUGCAAAUCACAAAUAAAUUUUUCUUCUCUGGAUGUUUCUGUGCGUGAGCAACAUCCAUGCAAAAAUUGGGAUCAUGCUGACACCAAAACAGAAGGAAAACUUCCACCAAGGCCCAGCAGGAUCUGUUUGUCACAGGGUGUUCCCAUCAUUCCUGGGCUGAUUCCAAACUCUUGAUCGAGUGUGUGGAUCGGGAUCUGUCCUCUGGAGAUCCAGAGUCCUCCUUCCUGGGUUUUAGUGAGGAAGAAUCUGAGCUGGAACCUCUGGAAAGAGAGGAGAAGCCCCAGUUUUGGGUUGGGAUUUGCCCUGGAAGGACAAACGGAAUGAUCCUGUUGGAGCUUAGCCAGAACCUUUGGAUUCAGAGCAGGCUCCUCUUCCCUUCCUCCAUCGCCAGGAGCUGAGGACAUUUCCCAAAGAGUUUGUCCCUUCCAAAGGUCUGAGUCCAGCUGGGAUGACAGUUCCUCUCCUUUGGGAUUUCCCUGUGGAAACACAGCCCCAAAGGCCACCGGGAACAGAAACCUUGGAGGAGAGGAUUAAUUUGUUCAGGAUUUAUCCACAAAUCCUGCAGGAACUGCAGGGCUUGUGCCUAUCCUGGUUCAGAUCCAACACGGGAUCGUGGAGAGAGUAGCAAACAUAGCAUGGAAUUGUUGUCAUGGCAUCAUUGCCAUGGAAUCAUUGUCAUGGAAUUGUUGUCAUGGAAUCGUUGUCAUGGAAUUGUUGUCGUGGAAUCAUCCCAGAAUGAGUUGGGUUGGAAGGGACCUCAAAGCCCAUCUCAUUCCAUAGCCAGGGACAUCUUCCACAAUCCCAGGUUGCUCCAAGCGCUGUCCACCUCAGAAAACAGGGGAAGAAACUUUCCCAAGUUCACUUCCAGGAGGAGGCAAAGAUCCAAAAGAGCUGUUCCCGGAUUUUUCCUAGUUUUCCCUCCUCCUUUGUGUCAGAUCUGUGCCCGUUUUCCUCUCAUCCUGGAAAACAUCUGGCAAUACUCUGGAGUUCUGUGGAGCCUCUCACUCCUCCAAGGCAAGCUGUGCAUUGCAGUAUCCCGGCUGACUGCCUCGCAUGGAAUCUCCCUGGAAUCUUUCGGAUCGGUGUCCUCUUCUCCAGAGCCACAUGUUGGGCUUGGACGGGGAAUCUCACCCCUGGCAGGUUCCUCUGCUGUUCCUCUUCUAUUCCCACCCACAGCAGCAGAGUUCUCCUCCUGAUUCCCGCUCUUUUUUCUGGGAUUUAACAACUGUUUAAUCUUCCUUUUAUUUCUUUGGGAUGGCUUUUGGCAGCAGUUUUGCCAUUCCUGCUUCUCCUGGAUAAGCGCAGACGAUUGUUUUUCUGCCUCCUCCAUUCUCCUUGGUCCGGGUUCAGAUGAGAUCAUGUCUUGUCCUACCUCUCAUCAUUCCUCAACUCUGCUCCUUGUCUUCUUCUGGAGCCAAAAGGGUUCACAAAGAUCUCCCAAAAUCGAAUUUCUCAGCCAGGGAUUGGCUCUGUUUAUCUCUUUAUGGGCAAUCAGCUGGAGGUCAGGGAACAUCCACAGAGCUGGGAAGGAUUUUCCACUUUCUAAACAAUAAAAAUCCACGGAAAGGCAAGAUCUCCAAAGUUUUUCUUCCUUUUGGUUGUCUUGACAAAUUCAGUGGCCGAAAGGGUUUUUAAUUUCAGGUUCUGAUGUUUCAGGAAGUUAAGAAACCUCAUUCAUAGGUUGGGUUCUUUUUCUCACACGUCCUCCUUUGGUGAUUCCAUGUCCUCCUUGAUAUCUUCAUGUCUUCCCUGAUGUUUCCAUGUCCUCCUUGGUCUUUCCAAGUUCUUCUCAGUGUUUCCAAGUUCUCCUUGGUGUUUCCAGGUCCUCCUUGGUGUUUCCAAAUUCUCCUUGGUGUCUUCAUGUCCUCCCUGAUGUUUCCAUGUCCUCCUCAGUGUUUUCAGGUCCUCCUUGGUGUUUCCAAGUUCUCCUCGGUGUUUCCAGGUCCCUCUUGAUGUCUUCAUGUCCUCCCUGAUGUUUCCAUGUCCUCCUUGGUGUUUUCAGGUCCUCCUUGGUGUUUCCAAGUUCUCCUCGGUGUUUCCAUGUCCUCCACGGUGUUUUCGGGUCCUCCCUGCUGUUUCCAAGUUCUCUUCGGUGUUUUCAGGUCCUCCUUGACGUUUCUGGGUCCUCCUUGGCCAUUUAAAGCUCAGAGACAUCAAACAAACCUUGCUGAGACACAAAUCCUUUGGAUGUGCUUCAGUUAGUGAUUAACUCCAAACUAAUUUGCUGUCAAGGAUUUUAAUGGACCUUGAUAAAUCUCCUAAUCCCGUCUUUUCUUCCCUCAGUGCUGACAGGAAUCACCACUGGCUGCUCUUGGCUCUGUAGGAGGUUUGGGAUGGUUUGGAGCCGGGAUUUUCUUCUGGGAGUCUUUUCCCACACUUCAAUUCUUUUUCCUAACUGUCCCUCCAAAACAACUCCAAAACUUCUUUAAAUAACUUAAUUCAGCAUUUUAUUUCCCAUUUUUAACUGGGUGCAAAUCUGACUGGAGGGAAGGGUUUAUGGUUCAAAGCCAAUCUCAGCUUGGCAGCUCCCAAACCAAUCCAGAGCUUUGGGAUAGGAAUGUGAUUUCCUUGGAUCACCUGGGUCUCACUGGGUUCGUCUCACCUGGGGCAGAGUUCAUGUACCCCGAGGCAGGAGAUGACUCCCAAACAGUCCUAAAUCUUGGUGGAUUUAUGGGAAAAGGGCACAGAGAGCAGGGAAAACAAUCCUUGUGUUUGUGCCCCACUCCUCGAGGAUUUCAAACAAUAAAAUAGAAAUCUCAAGCUA